UACGGGGGGGGCAAGCGUUGUUCGGAAUUACUGGGCGUAAAGGGCUCGUAGGUGGCCAACUAAGUCAGACGUGAAAUCCCUCGGCUUAACCGGGGAACUGCGUCUGAUACUGGAUGGCUUGAGUUUGGGAGAGGGACGCGGAAUUCCAAGUGUAGCGGUGAAAUGCGUAGAUAUCUGGAGGAACACCGGUGGCGAAGGCGGCGUCCUGGACCAACACUGACACUGAGGAGCGAAAGCCAGGGGAGCAAACGGG
RNAcentral lists this ribosomal RNA (253 nucleotides) under uncultured bacterium. RNAcentral's name for it is "partial 16S ribosomal RNA". It matches the Rfam family "Bacterial small subunit ribosomal RNA", at positions 524 to 776 of the family's 1533-position model. The record is from RNAcentral.